This 449-nucleotide ribosomal RNA is filed under the name uncultured bacterium. Its description in RNAcentral is "partial 16S ribosomal RNA". It matches the Rfam family "Bacterial small subunit ribosomal RNA", at positions 29 to 523 of the family's 1533-position model. The record is from RNAcentral.
AACGAACGCUGGCGGCAUGCCUAACACAUGCAAGUCGAACGAGAUCUUCGGGUCUAGUGGCGGACGGGUGCGUAACGCGUGGGAAUCUGCCCUUUGGUUCGGAAUAACAGUUGGAAAAGACUGCUAAUACCGGAUGAUGACGAAAGUCCAAAGAUUUAUCGCCAGAGGAUGAGCCCGCGUAGGAUUAGCUAGUUGGUGUGGUAAAGGCGCACCAAGGCGACGAUCCUUAGCUGGUCUGAGAGGAUGAUCAGCCACACUGGGACUGAGACACGGCCCAGACUCCUACGGGAGGCAGCAGUGGGGAAUAUUGGACAAUGGGCGAAAGCCUGAUCCAGCAAUGCCGCGUGAGUGAUGAAGGCCUUAGGGUUGUAAAGCUCUUUUACCCGGGAUGAUAAUGACAGUACCGGGAGAAUAAGCUCCGGCUAACUCCGUGCCAGCAGCCGCGGUAA